UGGGGAAUUUUGGACAAUGGGCGAAAGCCUGAUCCAGCAAUGCCGCGUGUGUGAAGAAGGCCUUCGGGUUGUAAAGCACUUUUGUCCGGAAAGAAAUCCUUGGCUCUAAUACAGUCGGGGGAUGACGGUACCAGAAGAAUAAGCACCGGCUAACUACGUGCCAGCAGCCGCGGUAAUACGUAGGGUGCAAGCGUUAAUCGGAAUUACUGGGCGUAAAGCGUGCGCAGGCGGUUUGCUAAGACCGAUGUGAAAUCCCGGGCUCAACCUGGGAACUGCAUUGGUGACUGGCAGGCUAGAGUAUGGCAGAGGGGGGUAGAAUUCCACGUGUAGCAGUGAAAUGCGUAGAGAUGUGGAGGAAUACCGAUGGCGAAAGGCAGCCCCCUGGGCCAAUACUGACGCUCAUGCACGAAAG
RNAcentral lists this ribosomal RNA (412 nucleotides) under uncultured bacterium. RNAcentral describes it as "partial 16S ribosomal RNA". It matches the Rfam family "Bacterial small subunit ribosomal RNA", at positions 355 to 759 of the family's 1533-position model. The record is from RNAcentral.